Molecule: long non-coding RNA, 888 nt
Organism: Canis lupus familiaris (dog)
Lineage: Eukaryota; Metazoa; Chordata; Mammalia; Carnivora; Canidae
Exons: 3
Source: RefSeq, a predicted model, not a curated record
UUUCCAUAAGACACACCUACCCCUAGUCCUGAGUCAGCUGACCCCUCGGGGUGGGAUGAGCAGAGGCUCUGGGGGCACACCCGCCCUAUCCAGUCCCCCUGGUUGAAGACACAGAGGUCCCCUCUCAUAUGAAACAAAGCAGGUCUGGCUCAAAUCUACCCCCAUGAGUAAAAGAACAUACCCAGGACCCUGAGACACUCACUGUAAGCAUCCCCUGCAGACACAUCACAGAGCCAGGACACGGGGAAGCAAUGUGGCAGUGCGGCAGUGCCCGCUGGCCAUGACAAGAAGAGCUGGCUCUGGGGGAAAGGAAGCCAAGGAAGGCUGCAGAGACGAGAGAGAGGCAAGGAAGAAUGGGUGGGAGGUGGAGGUGGAAAAAGCUCCAAAACCAAGCCAGAAGAUGACACCAUGGAGGUCACUUCAGCCCCUGUGUAUCCCUGUCUGUUAUCCGGAGGGCCACAGAAAAGCCAAAGGAGGCAGAUUUUCAAGACCUUUAUGGAAAGAGAAUGAGUUGCAGGCACUGCGUCAAGACCUAGGAGAUGCAGCAGGGAACCAACACACGGCCUACCUCUCCACAAGCACCUUGCUGUCCAGUAACAGCAGGGGACAAGGAAUUGGUGCUUCUGGUGUACCUGCUGCAUGCCAGAAAUCGUGCCAGGAGCUUCUGCACCCAUUGAUCCUCACACCAACCAAUUUUUCCUAUUUUAUGUAUCAGUCAACUGAGGCUCAGAGAGGUUAGAUCUUUUACCCAAAAUGGUUAACAUCAGAAGAUCCAGCAUUCAAUUCAUAGUCUGUCUAAUUCCAGAAUCUGUGCAAUUCUUAACACUUUCUUUCUCCAAGAGCCAAACACUCCCUUCUGUACCAAGUUCUGUUUUCGGAGUCUGCCCC